Molecule: long non-coding RNA, 560 nt
Organism: Cydia splendana
Lineage: Eukaryota; Metazoa; Arthropoda; Insecta; Lepidoptera; Tortricidae
Exons: 2
Source: RefSeq, a predicted model, not a curated record
AAACAACACGGCUCUAUGACAAAUUUUAUUUAAUGACUAUCAAAUCCUAGUUUAAACUAAAUGAAUCACAGGGGCCAAGGUGUUAUCUCGUGUCCGCUACUCAUUACGUACAAUAACAUGUUGCUUCUACUAACGUGUCCUAGUACAUAAAUCACUUUCGUCUAAACUAACACCGAUUUAAUAAACAUUUUCUUCUCUACUUAAGACAAUUUAACUUACUCGUUGCGGUUCGGCUCGCUUCGGUAUCUGAAGAAAGACCAAUUUGAACAUACUCGCGUUUUGGUAAGAAAACGGAUGUAUCCAGUUACCACUCUUUCUUUACUUAUAUUACUCCAUGGCCUCACUGUUGUCGCGGUGGAAUUUGUUAUAUUUAACAACCGAAGACUAAGGGUCCUUGUUUGAGAUACUAUCUUCUCCUCACCCCCGCGAAAUCCGGUCCCGUUUAUACUUAACUUUUUAAUUCACGAAGUGUAAUUGAUUUUAGUCAUUUUCAAUUUAAUUCAGUCUUUAAUCAUUAUUUUAAUCAAACUAACAAUAAAGACUGUUGUUAGAAACAAUAA